UAAGGAAGACCCUGUACAAUGGAGUGCCUCCACUCCGUGGAGGAGUGUGGGGUACAGGGUGGCGAAGGCAAGAUCUGAAAGCAGCAACUAUACUAGAAGAUCAGGGACCAAGGUGAAUUUUCUUGAGAAGAGCCCCCAGCAACAAGUGCCAGCCCAGUAUUCCCAUGGGAAGUGAAUGGCGACAGGACAGACAGCUCCUUCCUUGAUAGUGGGGAAGACUGAGAUACACAUAUAAACAAAUAG
Molecule: long non-coding RNA, 243 nt
Organism: Hyaena hyaena (striped hyena)
Lineage: Eukaryota; Metazoa; Chordata; Mammalia; Carnivora; Hyaenidae
Exons: 2
Source: RefSeq, a predicted model, not a curated record